RNAcentral lists this ribosomal RNA (254 nucleotides) under uncultured bacterium. RNAcentral's name for it is "partial 16S ribosomal RNA". It matches the Rfam family "Bacterial small subunit ribosomal RNA", at positions 98 to 354 of the family's 1533-position model. The record is from RNAcentral.
CGGGACGGGUGAGUAACGCGUGGAGAACCUGCCGUAUACUGGGGGAUAACACUUAGAAUAGGUGCUAAUACCGCAUAAGCGCACAGCUUCGCAUGAAGCAGUGUGAAAAACUCCGGUGGUAUACGAUGGAUCCGCGUCUGAUUAGCUGGUUGGCGGGGUAAGGCCCACCAAGGCGACGAUCAGUAGCCGGCCUGAGAGGGUGAACGGCCACAUUGGGACUGAGACACGGCCCAAACUCCUACGGGAGGCAGCAG